RNAcentral lists this small RNA (2037 nucleotides) under Pan troglodytes (chimpanzee). RNAcentral's name for it is "retained intron". The record is from RNAcentral. Lineage: Eukaryota; Metazoa; Chordata; Mammalia; Primates; Hominidae.
GAUGAUGCGAGUGGCUGAAUACCUGGAUUGGGAUGUGUCUGAGCUGAGGCCGAUUCUUCAGGAGAUGAUGAAAGAGAUUGACUAUGAUGGCAGUGGCUCUGUCUCUCAAGCUGAGUGGGUCCGGGCUGGGGCCACCACCGUGCCACUGCUAGUGCUGCUGGGUCUGGAGAUGACUCUGAAGGACGAUGGACAGCACAUGUGGAGGCCCAAGAGGUUCCCCAGACCAGUCUACUGCAAUCUGUGCGAGUCAAGCAUUGGUCUUGGCAAACAGGGACUGAGCUGUAACCGUGAGUAAUGGGAGCUGGGAGGUAGGGGAAGAGGGUCAGCCCAGCUAUCUGUGGGAGCUUGACGCUGUAAACUUAGAAAGACCUAGGUUUGAAUCCUGGGCUCUGCCACUGACUAGUUAUGUGACCUUGGGAAAGCCACAUCACUUCUUUAAGCCUUAGUUUCCUCAACUGAAAAUGAGGUAAUUGUGAGCAUUAAAAAAGCUGGUGCAAGAAAAGUGCUUCAGAUGGUGCAUGCACAUACUAUAAGAUGCAAUAAAAAAUAUCUAUUAUGAUUACUGUUGCUGUUAGACCUGGGCCUCCCAAGCAUUAUCCAGCUCAGUUCCUGCCUGGCACAUGGAUGGUGUGGGGCAGGCAUGCAGUAGCAGCUGAUCUUUUAGGAGGAAGAGUAAGGAAAAGGCGUGGGUUUUGGAGGUGGGCACUUCACCCCGAACUUUUAUUCUGCUACACCCUCAAGCAAGGGAUCACAUAUCUGAUCCUGCCUCACCCUCAGGUAAGAAGGAAAUAGGGGGAGAGGCUCAGCUAAGCCUCCCAACUUCUUCCUUCUCCCUCAGUCUGUAAGUACACUGUUCACGACCAGUGUGCCAUGAAAGCCCUGCCUUGUGAAGUCAGCACCUAUGCCAAGUCUCGGAAGGACAUUGGUGUCCAAUCACAUGUGUGGGUGCGAGGAGGCUGUGAGUCCGGGCGCUGCGACCGCUGUCAGAAAAAGAUCCGGAUCUACCACAGUCUGACCGGGCUGCAUUGUGUAUGGUGCCACCUAGAGAUCCACGAUGACUGCCUGCAAGCGGUGGGCCAUGAGUGUGACUGUGGGCUGCUCCGGGAUCACAUCCUGCCUCCAUCUUCCAUCUAUCCCAGUGUCCUGGCCUCUGGACCGGAUCGUAAAAAUAGCAAAACAAGCCAGAAGACCAUGGAUGAUUUAAAUUUGAGCACCUCUGAGGCUCUGCGGAUUGACCCUGUUCCUAACACCCACCCACUUCUCGUCUUUGUCAAUCCUAAGAGUGGCGGGAAGCAGGGGCAGAGGGUGCUCUGGAAGUUCCAGUAUAUAUUAAACCCUCGACAGGUGUUCAACCUCCUAAAGGAUGGUCCUGAGAUAGGGCUCCGAUUAUUCAAGGAUGUUCCUGAUAGCCGGAUUUUGGUGUGUGGUGGAGAUGGCACAGUAGGCUGGAUUCUAGAGACCAUUGGUCAGUGCAGGGAGGGGCGUGGGGAAGGUAUUGGGGUCGUAGUCUUGCAGAGCUAACUCACUCCAUCCUUCUCUUCACCUGCCUCCGCAGACAAAGCUAACUUGCCAGUUUUGCCUCCUGUUGCUGUGUUGCCCCUGGGUACUGGAAAUGAUCUGGCUCGAUGCCUAAGAUGGGGAGGAGGUAAGUGGUUAGAAAUUGUUUUGCUGUAGGCUGAGAGGAGUUGUGUAGGAAGGGAAAGGCACUUAGAGAAGAAACUAGGCAUCUGGUAUGGAAAGGAUUGGGGAAGAAGAGGGGCACAGACAGGUGGAUACAAAAGUGGAAUGUCCAAAAAGAAGAGAGCUUUGGAAGAAGCAGGACCACAGUCUGAACCUAGAAGGGUCAAGGGUGAUAGUCCCCUUUCCUGUAAAUAUUUUUAUGUUUCUCCCAACCAACUCUUACGGCUCAGAGAAUCAAGGAAUAUGGGGGUGGGGAACAAUGUGUGAAUAAGGAAGGUUGUAUAAGAGCUAAGCCAGAUGCUGAGUGAUGGAGCUAGCAGGGAGCUUGGUCAUGACUCAUUCACUCAUUCAAACAAU